Molecule: ribosomal RNA, 823 nt
Filed under: Odontomachus sp. CAMB001
Lineage: Eukaryota; Metazoa; Arthropoda; Insecta; Hymenoptera; Formicidae
Description: eukaryotic LSU rRNA
Rfam family: Eukaryotic large subunit ribosomal RNA
Source: RNAcentral
CGUUCAGGGGUAAACCUAAGAAACCCAAAAGAUCGAACGGGGAGAUUCAUCGUCAGCGGCGUUGGCUUCGCGUCGGUGGGCGAUGUCCUGCGGUUUCUCGCGCGGGCACGCUACCGUGCGCGCAUGACCGGCGUCGUCGUCGUGCACUUCUCCCCUAGUAGAACGUCGCGACCCGCUGGGUGUCGGUCUACGGCCCGGGUGAGGUGACUGUCGCGUCGCCGGUAAAACGGCACGCGGCAAACCCUCGGACGCCCGGCCGGCUGCCCGGCGGUACUCGCACGGUAUCAGGCCGCAGUUUAUCUGCGUCAAGCCCGUCGCAAGCGCGCGCCACGGUUACUCGGAGGUACGGACCUAGCGCCGUCCCCGGUCCUGGUCCGCUGUUGGCCGACGGUGACCCUUUGACAGGCCUUACGGGGCGACGUGGGGGGUGUCAGCCAUUCCACGUCCGCCCUAAUACCGGUCGGCGACGCUACUGCUUUGGGUACUCUUAGGACCCGUCUUGAAACACGGACCAAGGAGUCUAACAUGUGCGCGAGUCAUUGGGACUAGCAAAACCCAAAGGCGCAAUGAAAGUGAAGGUCGGCCUUGGCGCCGACCGAGGGAGGAUGGGCAGCGUCGCGAUGCGGCCUCGCACUCCCGGGGCGUCUCGUUCUCAUCGCGAGAAGAGGCGCACCAAGAGCGUACACGUUGGGACCCGAAAGAUGGUGAACUAUGCCUGGUCAGGACGAAGUCAGGGGAAACCCUGAUGGAGGUCCGUAGCGAUUCUGACGUGCAAAUCGAUCGUCGGAACUGGGUAUAGGGGCGAAAGACUAAUCGAACCAUC